UGAGGAACAUGACCUUCGGCGGGGGAUAGCCGGCCCAACGGCCGGGUAAUACCGCGUACGACCAUUAGGGGACAUCCCCGAUGGUGAAAGCAGCAAUGCGCCGAUGGAGUGCCUCGCGGCCUAUCAGCUAGUUGGUGAGGUAACGGCUCACCAAGGCGACGACGGGUAGCUGGUCUGAGAGGAUGGCCAGCCACAUUGGGACUGAGACACGGCCCAGACUCCUACGGGAGCAG
This 233-nucleotide ribosomal RNA is filed under the name uncultured bacterium. Its description in RNAcentral is "partial 16S ribosomal RNA". It matches the Rfam family "Bacterial small subunit ribosomal RNA", at positions 118 to 347 of the family's 1533-position model. The record is from RNAcentral.